This 594-nucleotide ribosomal RNA is filed under the name Rhagoletis ferruginea. RNAcentral describes it as "partial 28S ribosomal RNA". It matches the Rfam family "Eukaryotic large subunit ribosomal RNA", at positions 355 to 774 of the family's 3401-position model. Lineage: Eukaryota; Metazoa; Arthropoda; Insecta; Diptera; Tephritidae. The record is from RNAcentral.
GAGGGAAAGUUGAAAAGAACUCUGAAUAGAGAGUUAAAUAGUACGUGAAACUGCUUAGAGGUUAAGCCCGAUGAACCUGAAUAUCCAUUAUGAAAAAUUCAUCAUUAUACCUAUAAUAUUAACGUUUAAUAUUUUAUAGUGAUGGUGUGCAUUUUUUUCAUAUAAGGACAUUGUAAUCUAUUAACAUAUAAUACACAAAUAUUUAUCAGAAGAUCAUUGGUUUUAAGUUUAUUCAAAUUAAUUUGCUCUUAGCUUAUUAACAUAGAAUUAAAUACCGAAUGAUUUGAUAAAGUGUUGAUAGAUUUUAUAAUAAUAUAAUGCUAAAAUUCAUAUUUAUAUGAAUUUUACAAUAAUAUAUAUAUUUUAUAUAUUCAUUGUAUGCAUUUAUAUGAUUUACAAUGCGAAAGAUUCAGGAUACCUUCGGGACCCGUCUUGAAACACGGACCAAGGAGUCUAACAUAUGUGCAAGUCAUUGGGUUAUUUUANACCUAAUGGCAUAAUUAACUUAACUUACACAAUUUAUUUUUUGGGAUUAGUUUUUAGUCUANUUUUUAAUUAAAAUAGUUCNAUUAAUUCAAUCCCGGGGCGUUCCAU